RNAcentral lists this ribosomal RNA (472 nucleotides) under uncultured bacterium. RNAcentral's name for it is "bacterial SSU rRNA". It matches the Rfam family "Bacterial small subunit ribosomal RNA", at positions 8 to 507 of the family's 1533-position model. The record is from RNAcentral.
AGAGUUUGAUCAUGGCUCAGGAUGAACGCUGGCGGCGUGCCUAACACAUGCAAGUCGAGCGAUUUACUUCGGUAAAGAGCGGCGGACGGGUGAGUAACGCGUGGGUAACCUGCCCUGUACACACGGAUAACAUACCGAAAGGUAUGCUAAUACGAGAUAAUAUACUUUUAUCGCAUGGUAGAAGUAUCAAAGCUUUUGCGGUACAGGAUGGACCCGCGUCUGAUUAGCUAGUUGGUAAGGUAACGGCUUACCAAGGCGACGAUCAGUAGCCGACCCGAGAGGGUGAUCGGCCACAUUGGAACUGAGACACGGUCCAAACUCCUACGGGAGGCAGCAGUGGGGAAUAUUGCACAAUGGGCGAAAGCCUGAUGCAGCAACGCCGCGUGAGCGAUGAAGGCCUUCGGGUCGUAAAGCUCUGUCCUCAAGGAAGAUAAUGACGGUACUUGAGGAGGAAGCCCCGGCUAACUACGUG